ACAACAAACCUUACUACUCUACGCGUCUGCCCUCGCACGGCCACCGUCUCCACUCACAGUCUGAGUGAGUGUGUGAGAGUGAGUGUGUGAGUGAAUAAUUGAAUAGGUGAGUGAGUGGGUGGAUAGAUGAGUGACUGGAUAGGUUAGUGAAUGAGUGAGGGAGUGCAUAUUUGUGAGUGGGCAAGUUGACCAAUGACUGGAGAGGUGAACGAGUGAGGCUAUUGAGUGAGUGAGUGAGUGAGUGAGUGAGUGAGUGAGUGAGUGAGUGAGUGAGUGAGUGAGUGAGUGAGUGAGUGAGUGAAUAAUUGAAUAGGUGAGUGAGUGGGUGGAUAGAUGAAUGACUGGAUAGGUUAGUGAAUGAGUGAGGGAGUGCAUAUUUGUGAGUGGGCAAGUUGACAAAUGACUGGAGAGGUGAACGAGUGAGGCUAUUGCGUGACUGAGUGAGUGAGUGAGUGAAUAAUUGAAUAGGUGAGUGAGUGGGUGGAUAGAUGAAUGACUGGAUAGGUUAGUGAAUGAGUGAGGGAGUGCAUAUUUGUGAGUGGGCAAGUUGACAAAUGACUGGAGAGGUGAACGAGUGAGGCUAUUGCGUGAGUGAGUGAGUGAGUGAGUGAGUGAGUGAGUGAGUGAGUGAGUGAGUGAGUGAGUGAGUUUAUAGGUUUGUGAAUGGGUGUAUGUCAUUAAGGUGACAAAUGAGUGUUUGAGUGACAGAAUGAGUUUCGUUUCGUCUUCGAGCUGGCUGUUUCACUCAUUCACCAAGCAGGUAUAACGUCCUUUCUUGUCAAGUGUAGCUUCAGCUAAUGCUAGUUUAAUUAUUAUUAUUAUUAAUAUUAUUAUUACCAUGACUUAAAAAAAAAGACUCUUUCCUGCUGUUCACCCGCUUCUUGGCGUCCUGUUCUUGUCCUCCACUGUUCACGUCUUCUUCCUCUUCUCAUCUUUUCUUCCUGGCUUCUUUCCUCCUCCCUCUCCUCCUCUGAUCUUGUUUGUUUUGUCUUCUCUAUUGCAUGCUUUUUAUAAACUCUUCAAUUUGGACAACUGCAGAUGAUAUUUUGGGCACUGCCUACAGAGUGUGUGCGUGUGUGUGAUCCGGAAGGCUUGUGACCAAGUGUCUCCACGCA
This is a long non-coding RNA of Hippocampus zosterae (dwarf seahorse), 1115 nucleotides long. RefSeq lists it as uncharacterized. NCBI's taxonomy places the organism in Eukaryota, Metazoa, Chordata, Actinopteri, Syngnathiformes, Syngnathidae. The transcript has 3 exons. The record is from RefSeq and is a predicted model, not a curated record.